CUCUUUAAAUAUUUAAAGUAGUCUCUGCCCAAUGAAAUUUUAAUGGCCGCAGUACUCUGACUGUGCAAAGGUAGCAUAAUCAUUUGUUUUUUAAUUGAAAACUAGAAUAAAAGAGUUGACGUAAAAUAAACUUUUUUAAAAACUAUUUAAAUUGACAUUAAAGUUAAAAGGCUUUAAUAAAAUAGAGGGACGAUAAGACCCUGUGAAAUUUUAAUCAUAUACACAGCUAUUUAUGAAAUUGGUGUAAAGUGAUUUUUACUGGGGCGGUUUAUAUAGUUAUCUAUUUCUAUAAAAAAUACAAAAAUGUAAAUAUUAAAAACCUUGAUAUGUAAAAUUUUUCAAAUUACUCCAGGGAUAACAGCACAAUUUCAUUCAACAGAACAUAUAGACAAUGAAGUUUGUGACCUCGAUGUUGAAUUGGGAAUACAUAUAAAA
RNAcentral lists this ribosomal RNA (435 nucleotides) under Stenasellus virei. Its description in RNAcentral is "partial 16S ribosomal RNA". Lineage: Eukaryota; Metazoa; Arthropoda; Malacostraca; Isopoda; Stenasellidae. The record is from RNAcentral.